UCAAGGGUUUGGAUUUACCGGCAGGCCCAGCCCCAUGGGCCUCUCAUCAUGUCCCAUGCCAGAGCAAACUGUAGCCCUGAACCACUGCCUUGUCUCCUAGCCCAUAGGCUUCUGACACUGAAGCGGGUUGAACAGUG
This is a small nucleolar RNA of Echinops telfairi (small Madagascar hedgehog), 137 nucleotides long. RefSeq annotates it as small nucleolar RNA SNORA42/SNORA80 family. The transcript has a single exon. The record is from RefSeq and is a predicted model, not a curated record. Lineage: Eukaryota; Metazoa; Chordata; Mammalia; Afrosoricida; Tenrecidae.